GAUGAACGCUGGCGGCGUGCUUAACACAUGCAAGUCGAACGAAGCACUUUAUUUGAUUUCCUUCGGGACUGAUUAUUUUGUGACUGAGUGGCGGACGGGUGAGUAACGCGGGGGUAACCUGCCUUGUACAGGGGGAUAACAGUUGGAAACGGCUGCUAAUACCGCAUAAGCGCAAAGCAUCGCAUGAUGCAGUGUGAAAAACUCCGGUGGUAUAAGAUGGACCCGCGUUGGAUUAGCUAGUUGGUGAGGUAACGGCCCACCAAGGCGACGAUCCAUAGCCGACCUGAGAGGGUGACCGGCCACAUUGGGACUGAGACACGGCCCAAACUCCUACGGGAGGCAGCAGUGGGGAAUAUUGCACAAUGGGCGAAAGCCUGAUGCAGCGACGCCGCGUGAGCGAAGAAGUAUUUCGGUAUGUAAAGCUCUAUCAGCAGGGAAGAUAAUGACGGUACCUGACUAAGAAGCACCGGCUAAAUACGUG
RNAcentral lists this ribosomal RNA (481 nucleotides) under uncultured bacterium. RNAcentral's name for it is "partial 16S ribosomal RNA". It matches the Rfam family "Bacterial small subunit ribosomal RNA", at positions 28 to 507 of the family's 1533-position model. The record is from RNAcentral.